GAUAACUUCUUUCGCCAACUCCUAUGAGAUUUAUUCAACUUCCUGGUGAUUCUCCACCACUUUAUGUAUCCAAAUAAAGCUUCUCACAAAGUGAUUCAUCCUGGUUUGAUUUGAACGACGAUGAAGCUGUGCUAUUCCCAAACUGGGAAACUGGAAUCACCUGAUUUGAAAGUGGGAUAACUUCUUCACGCCAACUCCUAUUGUGAGAAUCGACAGAUUAUGGUGUGUGAGUGUUGUUUAGAACAGAAAGUGGUCGGAUUGAAAGAGAACAGAGUGAAGACAGUAAGUGAGAAUUAAAGAGACUGCAAUGGAGAAUAAGAGAGAUUAAGUGAGAUUUGAGAGAGUAUGAGAGAGAUUCUUGUAACCAGAGAUUAGGAGAGUAUAAGAGACUUGAGAAUGGUGAAGAAGAAAGGGGAAACUCCCCCAUUCAGCUUAAUUUCGUAAUGGUUACAAUGGGGUGGCUUUAUAGCCAGAUUACAAGUUGCAAGUGAUUAAACAAUUGUUAAAGUACAGAUUUACUAAACUAAUAUUAUUGUAGGGUUUCUGAUGGAGCCAGGAGGAUGCAGCCAAGGAGAAUCUCGACCAGAGGGAGUAGAGAGUGACAGGAGAGAGAGAUGGGCACAGUCUGGUUGGGUGAAAGUGACAGCAGGGUUUCUGAUGGAGCCAGGAGGAUGCAGCCAAGGAGAAUCUCGACCAGAGGGAGUAGAGAGUGACAGGAGAGAGAGAUGGGCACAGUCUGGUUGGGUGAAAGUGACAGCAGGUUCAUCUCCUUAUGCACAUGUGACUUUUAUCUUAAUUAAUUCUCCAACUUGCCA
Molecule: long non-coding RNA, 815 nt
Organism: Brassica rapa (field mustard)
Lineage: Eukaryota; Viridiplantae; Streptophyta; Magnoliopsida; Brassicales; Brassicaceae
Source: RefSeq, a predicted model, not a curated record